AUUGAACGCUGGCGGCAGGCCUAACACAUGCAAGUCGAGCGAACAGACGAGGAGCUUGCUCCUCUGACGUUAGCGGCGGACGGGUGAGUAACACGUGGAUAACCGACCUAUAAGACUGGGAUAACUUCGGGAAACCGGAGAUAAUACCGGAUAAUAUAUUGAACGGCAUGGUUCAAUAGUGAAAGACGGUUUUGCUGUCACUUAUAGAUAGAACCGCGCCGCAUUAGCUAGUUGGUAAGGUAACGGCUUACCAAGGCUACGAUGCGUAGCUGACCUGAGAGGAUGAUCGGUCACACUGGAACUGAGACACGGUCCAGACUCCUACGGGAGGCAGCAGUAGGGAAUAUUCGGCAAUGGGCGAAAGCUUGACGGAGCAACGCCGCGUGAGUGAUGAAGGUCUUCGGAUCGUAAAACUCUGUUAGUAGGGAAGAACAAAUGUGUAAGUAACUCUGCACGUCUUGACGGUACCUAAUCAGAAAGCCACGGCUAACUACGUG
RNAcentral lists this ribosomal RNA (497 nucleotides) under uncultured bacterium. RNAcentral describes it as "partial 16S ribosomal RNA". It matches the Rfam family "Bacterial small subunit ribosomal RNA", at positions 30 to 507 of the family's 1533-position model. The record is from RNAcentral.